Molecule: ribosomal RNA, 253 nt
Filed under: uncultured bacterium
Lineage: Bacteria
Description: partial 16S ribosomal RNA
Rfam family: Bacterial small subunit ribosomal RNA
Source: RNAcentral
UACGUAGGUGGCAAGCGUUGUCCGGAAUUACUGGGCGUAAAGCGUGCGCAGGCGGUUGGGUCAGGCGCUGGUGAAAGCCCCACGCUCAACGUGGGAAUGGCCAACGAGACGGCCCGACUGGAGGCAGGGAGAGGCCGGUGGAAUUCCGGGUGUAGUGGUGAAAUGCGUAGAUAUCGAGAGGAACACCUGCGGCGAAGGCGGGUUGCUGGGCUGACACUGACGCUGAGGCGCGAAAGCCAGGGGAGCGAACGGG